This 2600-nucleotide long non-coding RNA is filed under the name Pan troglodytes (chimpanzee). RNAcentral describes it as "lincRNA". Lineage: Eukaryota; Metazoa; Chordata; Mammalia; Primates; Hominidae. The record is from RNAcentral.
AGGUAACGCCGUUGAGAAGUGGGAACGGCGGGAAGGUAACGCCGUGAGAAGUGGGAACAGCAGGAAGGUAACACCAGUGAGAAGUGGGAACAGAGGGAAGGGCAUGUGCACACCACCCUCGGGCGUCAUCCUGGAGACGCGGGAGCUCGGCUGCCAGGUUGCUGAUACGCUCCAUGUUCAGGGGCUGUCCCACCGGGAAAGGUGCCCGUGGGGGUGAGAAGCCCUCUUCUGAUCCUCCUGCUUUCCUGGGGGGUGAAGCUGCUUUCCCAGAAAACAUCAGGCCCCCCUCCCGGCUGCCGGACCCCACAGUGUGGUCUUUGUCCCCAGGGGCAGUGCUUUCUGCCCCUUUUGUUCUCUGCUGAUCCCCAGAGCCUGGCCCUGCACAGGUCGUUGGUGAUGUCUGUGGAUUAGAGACCUGCUCCCCUGUGCCUCCACAGGGGAGGGCCACACGUGCAUACACAUGCACACUCAGACACACGGUCACGUACAUGAUCAUGCUUACAUGUCACACACUAUACACACGCACUCUUGUGUACACAUGGCACACACUUACCCUAACGCAGCCACACAGUUCACACACACCCACCCCCUCCUGCUGACACUCUCACAGUCACACACAUGCACUCACCACACCCUCCCCUAGUGGGCUCUGGGGUUCCACCAACCGUAGCUGGGUGGCCACCCCGUGGCCUUCACCACUGCGUGGCCCAACACACAAAGGUGGCCUGGGGCCUCUCCCGACUCUAGGAUCAGUUCUUCCUGGUUCCCUGGGCCAACAUUCUCCUGCGGGCCCAGUCUCAGUCAGCCCUCACACGUGGGGAUUCCAGCUCAGCCCCCUUUCCCAGACUCCACACUUGGAUUCUCAAGCCGUAGGUAAAGUAGCCGUGCUGGCACCGACUGGCCCCAAAGUGGAGCUGAUGCCACAAAGCACUGCCGGGCCAGACACCAGCCAGGCAGGCCCCUGGGACAGCGGUGCAGGUCGGCUUCCAGCCGACUUUGGGGUCCCCAGGACCCUGCCUUUCUGGAGGGGUCACCAAGCCAGAGCUGGGCUCCACCUGGCCAUUUGUGAGAUGUGCAGCUUUGUGAGCUGGUGCUGCCCCUGGGGCAGUCUAAACAGCGGUGGUGGGAGGAUGUGCAAAUGCUUCCAACCAGGGGCUUCAUUUUCGCUUUUCCCUGGAGAGCCUGUUUGCCAGCACCCCGCUACCAGGGACCCUCCGUGCCUCCCCAACUCCACCUAACCCCUUCUCCAGCUCCCCUAGUGGGGGGCGGCACCUUGCUCUUCUGAGCGGAGCCGGGGAGAGCCAGGACCCCGCACAUCACCACGUCCCUCCUGCCCCCGGCUUCUGCUUGCCUGUCCCCAGGAGCUGGGAUGCCAGGUCGAUUUCAACCAAGUUCUCUUUUACGGACAUACACACCAGUGGGAUUUGAUUACUGGCCUCACCUGCGCUGGAAGAAGCUCUAUCUUUAACUUCUGUUCUGCUCAUUCUGCUCAUGUAUAUAUUCUGAGAUGUUUUAAACAACAAUUCACCCAUCUUCCUGGCUUUCACCUGAUGAAAUUACAAAUGUUCAGAAUUCUCACCACCUUCUGGUUAAGCAAGUGUCAUGGAUUGAACUGUGUCCCCCUGAAACUCUUAUGCUGGAGUCCUAGUCCCACGGCCUCAGAAUGUGGCCUUAUUUGGAGACAGGGUCUUCACAGAGGUGAUCUGUUUAACAGGAGGUCCCAGGGUGGGCCCUAAACCCCAUGGCUGGUGUCCGUAUAAGAUGGGCACAUUUGGACACCGAGACACAGACAAGAAGACAACCACAUACGGCCACGCGGGGUGCCCUCCAAGGAACCAACUCCGGCCGCACCUUGAUCUCGGCCUUCCCGCCUCCUUUCCCGCUGUUUAAGCCGCCCAUGAGAGUGCCCCGUGAUGGCAACGCCAGCGGGCGCAUAUACAGCGGGCCUCUGGGGUCCAGCCUGGGAGCCCAGACACAGACACCGUCUCUACCUGGCAAGAUGGGGUGACGAAAUGAGAAAUGAAUAGAUCUGGUCUCUGCUCCCGAGACCCCGCACAGGGCUCCAAAAGCCCUCGAAUUUCCUGGGUGAUGGCAGCAGAUUCUUCCGUUCAAAUGAGGUGAGGCUUGGUGGCUCCUGGAGGGGGGCCGGUCACCAGAGAGACCAGCCAGGAUUAGCACCUGCAGCUCUCAACCCUGCACCCACCCUCCUCCAGGGAUCAUCCACCAUCAUCCUUCAUGUCUGUGAUGGAGCCUCCAUAAGAAUGCCUGGACUAUGGGUCCCGAGCAUUUCCGGGUUGCUGAACACAUCCACGGGCCAGGAGGGUGGUGCCCCCCACUCCACGGACACAGAAGCUCCUGGGCUGGGGACCCUUUCCAACCCUGCCCUGUGCCCCGGCCCACCUGGCUGCCCAUCUGCGGCCUUUCUCAUCUCCUUUUCCUGCGUUCUGUGAUAAUUUUGUGUUGCACUCUUGAUAUUUAAGGCUAAUGUGUAACUAGAAAACUGAGUUUUAAUAUUUAAUGCCCUUGGAUUUGGGAAAUCUCUUACUACAUUAUGUUUGGAUAUACUUUCUCUGAGGGGAUAAAUAUUUUAUCGAGGCUGU